This 72-nucleotide transfer RNA is filed under the name Ornithorhynchus anatinus (platypus). It matches the Rfam family "tRNA". From Rfam's summary of the family: Transfer RNA (tRNA) molecules are approximately 80 nucleotides in length. Their secondary structure includes four short double-helical elements and three loops (D, anti-codon, and T loops). Lineage: Eukaryota; Metazoa; Chordata; Mammalia; Monotremata; Ornithorhynchidae. The record is from Rfam by way of RNAcentral.
AGCAGUGUGGCUUAGUGGAAAGAGGCUGGGCUUGGGAGUCAGAGGUCAUGAGUUCAAAUCCCAGCUCUGCCA